Molecule: ribosomal RNA, 445 nt
Filed under: uncultured bacterium
Lineage: Bacteria
Description: partial 16S ribosomal RNA
Rfam family: Bacterial small subunit ribosomal RNA
Source: RNAcentral
GUGAGGAAUAUUGGUCAAUGGGCGGGAGCCUGAACCAGCCAAGUCCCGUGAAGGAAGAAGGAUCUAUGGUUCGUAAACUUCUUUUGCAGGGGAAUAAAGUGCAGGACGUGUCCUGUUUCGUAUGUACCCUGAGAAUAAGGAUCGGCUAACUCCGUGCCAGCAGCCGCGGUAAUACGGAGGAUCCGAGCGUUAUCCGGAUUUAUUGGGUUUAAAGGGUGCGUAGGUGGUUUGAUAAGUCAGCGGUGAAAGUUUGCAGCUUAACUGUAAAAAUGCCGUUGAAGCUGUAGGACUUGAGUGUAAAGGAUGUAGGCGGAAUGCGUGGUGUAGCUGUGAAAUGCAUAGAUAUCACGCAGAACUCCGAUGGCGAAGGCAGCUUACUAAGCUACAACUGACACUGAAGCACGAAAGCGUGGGGAUCAAACAGGAUUAGAAACCCGGGUAGUCC